AUUGAACGCUGGCGGCAGGCCUAACACAUGCAAGUCGAACGAGUGGCGGACGGGUGAGUAAUGUCUGGGAAACUGCCUGAUGGAGGGGGAUAACUACUGGAAACGGUGGCUAAUACCGCAUACCAUCGGAUGUGCCCAGAUGGGAUUAGCUAGAAGGUGGGGAAACGGCUCACCUAGGCGACGAUCCCUAGCUGGUCUGAGAGGAGGACAAGCCACACUGGAACUGAGAAACGGUCCAGACUCAUACGGGAGGAAGCAGGGGGGAAUUUUGCACAAUGGGCGAAAGCCUGAUGCAGCCAUGCCGCGUGUAUGAAGAAGGCCUUCGGGUUGUAAAGUACUUUCAGCGGGGAGGCGUUACCCGCAGAAGAAGCACCGGCUAACUCCGUGCCAGCAGCCGCGUAAUAC
RNAcentral lists this ribosomal RNA (405 nucleotides) under uncultured bacterium. Its description in RNAcentral is "partial 16S ribosomal RNA". It matches the Rfam family "Bacterial small subunit ribosomal RNA", at positions 29 to 526 of the family's 1533-position model. The record is from RNAcentral.